UACGGAGGAUCCAAGCGUUAUCCGGAUUUAUUGGGUUUAAAGGGUGCGUAGGCGGUUGAUUAAGUCAGCGGUGAAAGUUUGGAGCUCAACUCUAAAAUUGCCGUUGAAACUGGUUAACUUGAGUGCGGUAGAGGUAUGCGGAAUGCGUUGUGUAGCGGUGAAAUGCUUAGAUAUAACGCAGAACCCCAAUUGCGAAGGCAGCAUACUGGACCGUAACUGACGCUGAGGCACGAAAGCGUGGGGAUCAAACAGG
Molecule: ribosomal RNA, 253 nt
Filed under: uncultured bacterium
Lineage: Bacteria
Description: partial 16S ribosomal RNA
Rfam family: Bacterial small subunit ribosomal RNA
Source: RNAcentral